Non-coding RNA from Paramormyrops kingsleyae, 1273 nucleotides. NCBI's taxonomy places the organism in Eukaryota, Metazoa, Chordata, Actinopteri, Osteoglossiformes, Mormyridae. The record is from RefSeq and is a predicted model, not a curated record.
UAACAUGUCAUUCAUUCAGCAAGAAAUGAUGGAUAUUAACACAAAUACUGAAGGAAGAAAUGCUUUAGCACUUUUAUACCUAAUUCAUAUGCAACAAGUUCCAAAUUUCAGUUUAGCACAGUAACAUAAAUGUGACCUGGGAGAUGUAACAGCCUCCGUUUAAAUGGGCUACUUUAGGGGAUAAAUAACAUUAGUAAUAUGUUUUGUUCAGGUUUUGAUGCGUAUAAAAAGUAUGGAUAAAUAUUAAAAUAAGCACGUUGUAACUGGGUCAUAUGCAUGAAUAUCUUACAGCUGUAUAAAUAACAGUGUUUCAUUUGUCCCUAAUUUGCAUGUUCAGAUUCCCCAGAGCUGUCAGUGGACAAACAGGAGGUGACGGGUGUGGAAGGAGACAGUGUCAGUGUCCAGUGUCGCUAUGGAGACAGUGUAAAUAAGAAGCUGUGGUGUAAAAUCGGGGGCUCCUGUGUGUCAGAGAGAUCUGGGAGCUGGGAUCUGGAUGGGAGGCCUGUCCUGAUCAGGGAUGACACAGUAAAUAGAGUCUUCAUUGUGAAAAUAAGGGCACUGGAGAGGAAGGACACUGGCUGGUACUGGUGUGAUGCUGGAGGCUUGCAGAUCCCAGUUCAUAUUACUGUCAAACCAAUAAUCAUCACUGAAUCACAUGAUGAAGAUGGAGGGAAUAAUGAUAAACUGAGAUGGGAGCAGGUUCUGGAUGCUGCACUGAAAGCUGGGACUGGUGUGUUUUAUCUGAUUUGCACCAUCAUCGCCAUUCAGCUGCACUGGAGCAACUGUAGAAAGAGGGGAACCAAUCAGAGAGAAGCAGAGGGAGGGGCCAAUACAAACCACGGGUCUUGAGAAAUUUUGAUUAAAUAUACAACAUUAGUGUAAAUAAAUGAACAAUCCUCAAGACUGUAUCAGCAAGGGUAUGCUGUGUUUGUAUGAAAUGCCUUUUUAUAUAUCUGGAGUGUUUCAGUUUAUGCUGUAGCCAUUUAUUUGUGCACGAAUCUCCAGAGGAAGCUGGAAGGGGGGUGUGACCUUUAUGAAGCAGAAUGAGACAGAAGAGCUGUAAAAUAAAUGGUUAUGCCAUCUGCAGUGAGGCCUCUCUCACACGGCCCUGCUCAGUCUGUGCAGUCACACCAUGAGAGUCAGUUAAACACUGAGAGGUUGAUCUGCAAUGUAGGAUUGUCUGCUGGGAACCUGUACAGUCAGUGCUUUGUACCACUGAUGGCCUCUUCGUUACAUGUAAUUUGCUGCCACCUGCUGGUCAAAUAAUAUGGGA